GACGAGGGAUCCUAGCGUUGUUCGGAAUCAUUGGGCGUAAAGCGGGUGCAGGUGGCUUUGUAAGUCAGGUGUGAAAUCUCGAGGCUUAACCUCGGACGUGCAUUUGAUACUGCAAAGCUUGAGUGUGGGAGAGGCUAUUAGAAUUCCAGGUGUAGUGGUGAAAUACGUAGAUAUCUGGAGGAAUACCGGAGGCGAAGGCGGAUAGCUGGCCCAACACUGACACUCAGACCCGAAAGCGUGGGGAUCAAACAGG
RNAcentral lists this ribosomal RNA (253 nucleotides) under uncultured bacterium. RNAcentral's name for it is "partial 16S ribosomal RNA". It matches the Rfam family "Bacterial small subunit ribosomal RNA", at positions 524 to 776 of the family's 1533-position model. The record is from RNAcentral.